UAUAAAUGAAAUUCUCGUUAUCGUCAUUAACUAAAUUCCAUAAAAUUAUUACAUGUACAAUUUAAGUUAGCCAAUACAUUACCAUAUUACUUUUCCAUUUCAUGCUUGAUCCACAUUUCUUUUCAAUCAACACGAGUUUAUAUACACAUCCAUACGCAUUAGUAAAUUUUCUUAUUCAAUCCAUAUUCUUCUUUACCACAU
This 201-nucleotide small RNA is filed under the name Olea europaea subsp. europaea. Lineage: Eukaryota; Viridiplantae; Streptophyta; Magnoliopsida; Lamiales; Oleaceae. The record is from RNAcentral.